CCAUCCAACAUCGAGUAACAAUUGGAGGACAAGUCUGGUGCCAGCACCCGCGGUAAUUCCAGCUCCAAGAGCGUAUAUUAACGCUGUUGCUGUUAAAGGGUUCGUAGUUGAAUUGUGGAGUAUGGCCACGGGAUUCAGUCCUUUUCCCACGGUCUAGGAACGUCCCGGCCAUACUCCGAGAACGUCAGAAACUAAGAUCACGGAAGCGUUUUUUACAAACUGCCACCGACUACGCGAGCAAUGUUCGCUGGUGGACGUCCGUGUUUUUUACUGUGACUAAAGAAGUGCGACCAAGGCAGUCCAUCGACAUGAAUUAGAAAGCAUGGGAUAACAAAGCAGCAGCCUAUGAGCUACCGUUUAGGCUUUUGUUGGUUUUAAAGGUUCGUGGGAGAUUACGGGCGUGUAGGACCGGCGUUGGGGGUUUUCCAAAAUCCCCGCGUCUCCUCCUGGCAUCGGAAACGGUGCUUGCGGGGCCUGCUUCGCUCAGGAAUGAAGGAGGGUUGCUCGGGGGAAAACGUACUUGGGCGUGAGAGGUGAAAUUCUUAGACCGCCCAAAGACGAACUACAGCGAAGGCAUUCUCCAAGGAUACCUUCCUCAAUCAAGAACCAAAGUGUGGG
This 618-nucleotide ribosomal RNA is filed under the name uncultured marine eukaryote. Its description in RNAcentral is "SSU rRNA". It matches the Rfam family "Eukaryotic small subunit ribosomal RNA", at positions 527 to 995 of the family's 1831-position model. The record is from RNAcentral.